GACGUAGGGCGCGAGCGUUGUCCGGAUUUAUUGGGCGUAAAGAGCUCGUAGGCGGUUUGUCGCGUCUGCUGUGAAAACGCGAGGCUCAACCUCGCGCCUGCAGUGGGUACGGGCAGACUAGAGUGCGGUAGGGGAGAUUGGAAUUCCUGGUGUAGCGGUGGAAUGCGCAGAUAUCAGGAGGAACACCGAUGGCGAAGGCAGAUCUCUGGGCCGUUACUGACGCUGAGGAGCGAAAGCGUGGGGAGCGAACAGG
This 253-nucleotide ribosomal RNA is filed under the name uncultured bacterium. RNAcentral's name for it is "partial 16S ribosomal RNA". It matches the Rfam family "Bacterial small subunit ribosomal RNA", at positions 524 to 776 of the family's 1533-position model. The record is from RNAcentral.